AUAAAAUACUAAAUAAAAAAAAGUUAGGUCCUGGGUGAUGUUUAUUGAGGAAGAUCCACAGCACUUUAAUGGUUUAUUCAUCUAGCUUGAAGUAAUGUCAAACUAACAAUUAUGGUUCUAGUAAGAGGUGGUGGGUUCCCUGGGUAUUGUGGGUAACAAUUGCACUUCCCCAAUUAAAUAUGAAUGCUGGACUGCUAGCCUCAGUUACAAACAGGAUUCCAUUGAAAUCAAGAAUGUACCCCUUAAAUGCUUGCUGUCAUUUCUCUUAGGGAUCUGGAGAGCUCCGGUGCAGUAGGAAAGUACCCUGGGGCUGUGAGAGUGCAGAGGGGGCUGCUGAUGCCCAGAGGCUGGAAAGCGGUUUCUAGACCACACCCAACACAACUGAGACUGGGUUUUGACCACUCAUGAGGCUCCUUUAGUCAGAUACACUGUUUCAUACCAAACUUGUUACUACCCCACAGAAUAUUUUUAGAUACUGCUGUGCAAUAUAAAUAAUUAAAAAGAGAUAUUUCUGGAAGGUUCCAUGGGGGUGAAGAACAUGGGCAGUAGAGGAUUGUGCAGCUCAGUUUAGUCAGUUGCCAUGAUUAUGGCAAACCUAAUUGAGUUACUUCUCUGUUUCCAUGCUGCUCAUCUGUAAAAUGAGCCUAACCGCAGUGCUCCCCGUGUGGGGGAUUAUGGCGGUUAAAUGAGGUAGCGUGCACACUUCACACUGGCCUAGGGUGCACUGAACGUUUCCAUCUGUCGGUCACUGUUGCAGUUCAUUCCAAAUGCACAUUCAAGGGUGUUAGCUGCAUCGUUUUCUUGGUUUUUACCUUACCUGAUGAGCUGAGACGUUGACCAUUAUGGUUUUUCCUUUCCCCUAAAGUCAGGGUUUUUGGUGAUUUGAUCAGUUUUUGUUGAACCUUGUAAUUGAUUUAUUGUACAAAUGGGUGCAAGUGGGGAAAUGAAUGUUUACUUUUAAGUCUCAGUGAGAGGCUCUGGAAGGCCUGGGCUGGGGGUGACAUGCAGGGGAGCAUCUUCAGCCAGAGCAGACAGUGUCCCAGCCGCAGCUCCGCCUUGUCCUGGCUGCAUCCUGGCUUAGGUUAUUUGUUCUAUUUAAUAACAGGUGUUGACAGAGGUUAAAGAGCUAUGUAGUGUUUGGGGUUAUAUCUGGGCAUAAGGCUUAAGGCUAUCACUUGUCUGUUGGAGUUACAGAAUUAGGAUUAGUACCUACUUUAAAACAUUGCUCCAAAGAUUAAAUGAUUUAUAAAUAUGCAUGUCUAGCCCCAUGUCCAACUUGCUAUUUAAAAUCUCAUCAAGGAGACCAGGCUAGCCUCAGACUUACUGAGAUUCCUUUCCUGCCUCUGCCUCCCCAUGUGCUUGGGCUAAAGGUGGCUUCACCACGCCCAGCAUGACGUAAUUUCUUUAUCUGCAAAAUGUAGCUUUGAAAAUAUUCACAGCUAGGUGGUGGCGCAUGGCACACCUGUAAUCUCAGUACCUGAGGCAGAGGCAGGCAGAUCUCUGAGUUUGAAGCUAGCUUGGUCUACAGAGUGAGUUCCAGGAAAUAUUCUUUAUGAAAUACAACAUAUUUUUGACUUAGGUAGUUAAAAAAAAAAGUUUGUCAACUUUGGUGAGCUAUGUGGAAUGGGUACUAUUGAUAACUGAAGGUAAAACGACAGUAGGGAAAAUUUGAUUUAUUAUCAGUAGAUAUUGGAUUUUAUACCUACUUUACAUACCUAUCUACUCAAGGAUGCAUAUUGAACUCUGGAGAAAAGAGUCACAAGUAGAAAGCUUAAGAAGCCCUGCUCUGACUCCUGCAUAUGUGUCUGAACUAAGCCUGUGCGUUUUAAGUGAGGUAUCAAACUGUAUAGCAGCUAUCUUUUAUCUCAAAGAAAAAAAAAGCUAUGCUUAUAUUUAUGUUAAAAGUAAUUGCAGACAGCCCAAAUUAACAUAGUUACCUGUGGGAUGGAUGUAGAGGAGAUAAGAUUUAGAUGGCAAACUAGGGGUGUGGUGGCACACAUCAUAGUUCCUGCACUCAGGAGGCAGAGGCAGGGGGCUUAUGAAUUGACCAGCCUGGACUUAGUAGUGAGUUCAAGACCAGCCUGACCUAUACACUGAGGCCCUGUUUAGAAACAGAAAAAAACCAUGGUAAGUGAUGUUUGUGUGAACAUAUCUUGUUUUGGAAGUUAGACUUUAAAACUAUAUAUUCUAUAUGAUUAUAUAGUUAAAUGAUAAAAGUG
This 2219-nucleotide long non-coding RNA is filed under the name Mus musculus (house mouse). RNAcentral describes it as "long non-coding RNA chr2:117253193-117255412". Lineage: Eukaryota; Metazoa; Chordata; Mammalia; Rodentia; Muridae. The record is from RNAcentral.